RNAcentral lists this unclassified non-coding RNA (275 nucleotides) under Dothideomycetes sp. Its description in RNAcentral is "partial contains 5.8S ribosomal RNA, internal transcribed spacer 2, and large subunit ribosomal RNA". The stretch from base 1 to 71 matches the Rfam family "5.8S ribosomal RNA", at positions 84 to 154 of the family's 154-position model. Lineage: Eukaryota; Fungi; Ascomycota; Dothideomycetes. The record is from RNAcentral.
GUGAGUCAUCGAAUCUUUGAACGCACAUUGCGCCCAUUGGUAUUCCGAGGGGCACGCCUGUUCGAGCGUCAUUUAAACCAUCAAGCCCAGCUUGGUCUUGGACGCGGUCGAGUGACCCGUCCGCAACCCGUUGGCGGUGCAGUCCGGCCUCAAGCGUAGCAAGAAUCUCGCUUCAGGAGUCCGCGGCGGUGCCCGCCAGGUAAUCACAUCCCAAAGUUUGACCUCGGAUCAGGUGAGGAUACCCGCUGAACUUAAGCAUAUCAAUAAGCGGAGGA